AGUCGAGCGGGGAAGGGUAGCUUGCUACCUAACCUAGCGGCGGACGGGUGAGUAAUGCUUAGGAAUCUGCCAUUUAGUGGGGGACAACAUUCCGAAAGGAAUGCUAAUACCGCAUACGUCCUACGGGAGAAAGCAGGGGAUCUUCGGACCUUGCGCUAAAUGAUGAGCCUAAGUCGGAUUAGCUAGUUGGUGGGGUAAAGGCCUACCAAGGCGACGAUCUGUAGCGGGUCUGAGAGGAUGAUCCGCCACACUGGGACUGAGACACGGCCCAGACUCCUACGGGAGGCAGCAGUGGGGAAUAUUGGACAAUGGGCGGAAGCCUGAUCCAGCCAUGCCGCGUGUGUGAAGAAGGCCUUAUGGUUGUAAAGCACUUUAAGCGAGGAGGAGGCUACUUAGAUUAAUACUCUAGGAUAGUGGACGUUACUCGCAGAAUAAGCACCGGCUAACUCUGUGCCAGCAGCCGCGGUAAUACAGAGGGUGCGAGCGUUAAUCGGAUUUACUGGGCGUAAAGCGUGCGUAGGCGGCUUUUUAAGUCGGAUGUGAAAUCCCCGAGCUUAACUUGGGAAUUGCAUUCGAUACUGGGAAGCUAGAGUAUGGGAGAGGAUGGUAGAAUUCCAGGUGUAGCGGUGAAAUGCGUAGAGAUCUGGAGGAAUACCGAUGGCGAAGGCAACCAUCUGGCCUAAUACUGACGCUGAGGUACGAAAAGCAUGGGGAGCAAACAGGAUUAGAUACCCUGGUAGUCCAUGCCGUAAACGAUGUCUACUAGCCGUUGGGGCCUUUGAGGCUUUAGUGGCGCAGCUAACGCGAUAAGUAGACCGCCUGGGGAGUACGGUCGCAAGACUAAAACUCAAAGGAAUUGACGG
This 863-nucleotide ribosomal RNA is filed under the name uncultured bacterium. RNAcentral describes it as "bacterial SSU rRNA". It matches the Rfam family "Bacterial small subunit ribosomal RNA", at positions 60 to 916 of the family's 1533-position model. The record is from RNAcentral.